RNA transcript from Rhododendron vialii, 720 nucleotides. RefSeq lists it as uncharacterized. The record is from RefSeq and is a predicted model, not a curated record. Lineage: Eukaryota; Viridiplantae; Streptophyta; Magnoliopsida; Ericales; Ericaceae. The transcript has 2 exons.
GCGACCCGGAUAAUUAUUUCAUGGAAAAUACGUCAAUAUUACGUGUGGCAUUGGGGGUAAUGUGUAAUUAGUUUGGGGUUGGGGCCAAUGUGUAAGAGAGGGAAAAUAUGUAUAUAUGUAUAGGGGUGGGGUGGAAAUCAAAAAAAAAACAAAAAAAAUCAAAACAUCUCUCCCCCUCUCUCUCUCACGUCUCCCUCUCUCUCUUUACCCCUCUUCUCCAAACUUCAUCUCUCACAAUUCCUCCACAAAACCCACAUCAAAAACCUUCAAUCCUUGCUCCUCCAAGCUUUAAUUUCGUGGGUCUAGCUCGGUGGGAGUUAGUUCGCCUCGGUUUCGGAGUAUUUCAAGAUCUAGGGCUCGAUUGGCUCGGGGGAAGUUCAUACGACCUUGAGGUACAAAUCAAGGAAACUAGUUCUUGUUGCAUGGAGUGUAUGCCUACAAAGAAAAGGCAUCUUUUGUGAACUUAUUGGACGGUUAUUUAUACAUCUACACUUAUAGUCUUUUGGAAAUUGGGUAGAUGGCUCUGUAACCGUAUUUUGACGUUUACUUUUGACAUUGGAAGAAUGUAAUUAACUUUGUUAUUUCCACCCGUUAACCUUGAUACUUGAACUUUCUCCAACUUAUGCUAAACUCAAAGGAUCUUUUUGGUAAUAUUAUUAUUAUUAUUUUUACUUGUUAAUUAGUAUCUUUUUUUUUAAGAUAUGUUUAAAAAGCAGGGCG